This 181-nucleotide ribosomal RNA is filed under the name Pseudictyota dubia. RNAcentral's name for it is "partial Eukaryotic large subunit ribosomal RNA". It matches the Rfam family "Eukaryotic large subunit ribosomal RNA", at positions 3019 to 3200 of the family's 3401-position model. The record is from RNAcentral. Lineage: Eukaryota; Bacillariophyta; Thalassiosirophyceae; Eupodiscales; Odontellaceae.
GUAAUUGAGGGUAGUACGAGAGGAACUGCUCAUUCAGAUAAUUGGUAUUUGCGCCUGUCCGAUCGGGCAAUGGCGCGAAGCUAUCAUCUGCUAGAUUAUGGCUGAACGCCUCUAAGUCAGAAUCUGUGCCAGAAACGAUGAUGUUGGUCCCGCACAUGUUAGUUGUGUUUAAAUAGAGCUU